This 430-nucleotide ribosomal RNA is filed under the name Pseudomonadota bacterium. RNAcentral's name for it is "Proteobacteria bacterium partial 16S ribosomal RNA". It matches the Rfam family "Bacterial small subunit ribosomal RNA", at positions 355 to 776 of the family's 1533-position model. The record is from RNAcentral. Lineage: Bacteria; Pseudomonadati; Pseudomonadota.
UGGGGAAUAUUGGACAAUGGGGGGAACCCUGAUCCAGCCAUGCCGCGGGUGUGAAGAAGGCCUUAUGGUUGUAAAGCACUUUAAGCGAGGAGGAGGGUACUGGUAUUAAUACUACCAGGUACUGGACGUUACUCGCAGAAUAAGCACCGGCUAACUCUGUGCCAGCAGCCGCGGUAAUACAGAGGGUGCGAGCGUUAAUCGGAUUUACUGGGCGUAAAGCGUGCGUAGGCGGCUAAUUGAGUCGGAUGUGAAAUCCCCGAGCUUAACUUGGGAAUUGCAUUCGAUACUGGUUAGCUAGAGUGUGGGAGAGGAUGGUAGAAUUCCAGGUGUAGCGGUGAAAUGCGUAGAGAUCUGGAGGAAUACCGAUGGCGAAGGCAGCCAUCUGGCCUAACACUGACGCUGAGGUACGAAAGCAUGGGGAGCAAACAGG